GUUCUUUGCUUCUCAGGCUUUCUGGGAAACCCCAUGCCAUUUAGGUGAGGAUCUCUUCUGCCAGCAGCUGCACUUCCCACCACUUCCUGGAGGAGCUCCAGGCUGAGCCCAGCACCAAACGCGGCUUGUGCAGUGCCCUUCACCAAACCUCACCGCCCACGGGGGAGAUGCCCUGGGAUCCAUACGCCGGGUGUAUGAAGUAGGGCAAGGCCUAGUCCUCAUCUUUGUUUCCCUGAAUCUGCCCAUCUGGUACCAACCAGUUU
Long non-coding RNA from Suricata suricatta (meerkat), 263 nucleotides. RefSeq lists it as uncharacterized. The record is from RefSeq and is a predicted model, not a curated record. The transcript has 3 exons. Lineage: Eukaryota; Metazoa; Chordata; Mammalia; Carnivora; Herpestidae.